GAUGAACGCUGGCGGCGUGCCUAAUACAUGCAAGUCGAGCGAACAGACUAGUAGCUUGCUCCUCUGACGUUAGCGGCAGGCGGGUGAAUAACGCGUGGAUAACCUCCCUAUCAGACUGGGAUAACUUCGGGAAUCCGGCGCUAAUACCGGAUAAUAUAUUGAACCGCGGGGUUCAAUAGUGAAAUUCGGGUUUGCUGUCACUUAUAGAUGUAUCCGCGCCGUAUUAGCUAGUUGGUAAGGUAACGGCUUACCAAGGCAACGAUGCGUAGCCGACCUGGGAGGGGGAUAGGCGACAUUGGAACGGAGACAGGGUCAAGACUCCUACGGGAGGCAGCAGUAGCGAACGUGAGGCAAUGGGCGAAAGCUUGACGGAGCAACGGCGCGCGUGAGACGAAGGCCUUCGGAGCGGAAAACCCUGCUACGAGGGAUGAACAACUGUCGAAGUAAACAUGGAUGUUUUGACGGUACCUUAUCAGAAAGCCCCGGCUAACUACGUG
Molecule: ribosomal RNA, 497 nt
Filed under: uncultured bacterium
Lineage: Bacteria
Description: partial 16S ribosomal RNA
Rfam family: Bacterial small subunit ribosomal RNA
Source: RNAcentral